GAUGAACGCUAGCGGCAGGCUUAAUACAUGCAAGUCGUGGGGCAGCACAGAAUAGCAAUAUUUGGGUGGCGACCGGCAAACGGGUGCGGAACACGUACACAACCUUCCGAUAAGUGGGGGAUAGCCCAGAGAAAUUUGGAUUAAUACCCCGUAACAUAUAGAGAUGGCAUCGUCUUUAUAUUAUAGCUUCGGCGCUUA
This 198-nucleotide ribosomal RNA is filed under the name uncultured Sediminibacterium sp. Its description in RNAcentral is "partial 16S ribosomal RNA". It matches the Rfam family "Bacterial small subunit ribosomal RNA", at positions 28 to 221 of the family's 1533-position model. Lineage: Bacteria; Pseudomonadati; Bacteroidota; Chitinophagia; Chitinophagales; Chitinophagaceae. The record is from RNAcentral.